This 206-nucleotide long non-coding RNA is filed under the name Elaeis guineensis (African oil palm). RNAcentral describes it as "long non-coding RNA (EGUI_LNC047879)". The record is from RNAcentral. Lineage: Eukaryota; Viridiplantae; Streptophyta; Magnoliopsida; Arecales; Arecaceae.
GCCGUUGGAGUCAAGGAUGGAGCCCGACUCCCGUAGGAGUCCGGGCGGAGUCUUCCUGCGGUCGAAGUCGUGGGCAGAGUCUGGCUCCCAUAGGAGUCCGGACGAAGUCUGUCUGCAGCCGUUGGAGUUGAGGAUGGAGCCCGGCUCCCGUAGGAGUCCGGGCGGAGUCUUCCUGCAAUUAAAGUCAAAGGUGAAGUCCGGCUCCC